UUUAUGGAGAGUUUGAUCCUGGCUCAGGAUGAACGCUGGCGGCGUGCCUAAUACAUGCAAGUCGAGCGAACGGACGAGAAGCUUGCUUCUCUGAUGUUAGCGGCGGACGGGGGAGGAACACGUGGAUAACCUACCUAUAAGACUGGGAUAACUUCGGGAAACCGGAGCUAAUACCGGAUAAUAUUUUGAACCGCAUGGUUCA
This 202-nucleotide ribosomal RNA is filed under the name Staphylococcus aureus. RNAcentral describes it as "partial 16S ribosomal RNA". It matches the Rfam family "Bacterial small subunit ribosomal RNA", at positions 1 to 197 of the family's 1533-position model. The record is from RNAcentral. Lineage: Bacteria; Bacillati; Bacillota; Bacilli; Caryophanales; Staphylococcaceae.